GUACGGAGAUGUGAAUUUCGACUGUCUGAUUCAGCGACGGAAGCUCGGGAAGCUUAAAUAGGCGCGGUCUCCGGAUGCCUCUUGAACGUGCACGGACAAGAGGAAGAGAGAGAGAGAAAAAAGAGAGAGAGAGAGAUACGGGAAGAGAGAGAGAGAGGGAGAGAAAGAAAGCACGUGCAAGAGAGAAAGAGAGAGAGAGAAAGAAAAAUAUUUCUAGGAGCUAAUCUGCGUUGUACACAUAUUACAUAUAAUAUAAUUAGUAAUUUGUAACCAUCCACACAUGUAUUACUUUUUGUGACUUAGUAACCGAGUUUUAUAAUCGAUUUUCUCAGUGUGUAACGUUCCACGAUAACGGCUUUCACCGGAAGCGCUAUAUAUUUUUUCCUCGUUGCUUACACUUACAGCAUACGAAACAAAACAAGACUAACUGAAUGAUCUGACAACAUUAAAUUCAUUAUUAUUAGUGAUAAAUAUACUCACACACACGUAUAUAUACUUGAUGUUUUAUGGCAACAAUAUUUAUGAGUGUUAGAUUCUCCUCAUAGUACAUCGUACAAUUAAAAUAAACUUUCUCUGUAUGUAACAGCAAGUGUGUCGAGACGAACAUAAAAGCAUUAUUAUAUAAACGAGAGGGCAUAUUAAUGUAUAUGCAUGCGAGAAAUUCUUGCUGAUCCAACAAAAA
This is a long non-coding RNA of Frieseomelitta varia, 682 nucleotides long. RefSeq lists it as uncharacterized. NCBI's taxonomy places the organism in Eukaryota, Metazoa, Arthropoda, Insecta, Hymenoptera, Apidae. The record is from RefSeq and is a predicted model, not a curated record. The transcript is spliced from 2 exons.